RNAcentral lists this small nuclear RNA (106 nucleotides) under Carlito syrichta (Philippine tarsier). Lineage: Eukaryota; Metazoa; Chordata; Mammalia; Primates; Tarsiidae. The record is from RNAcentral.
GUGCUCGCUUCAGCAGCACAUGGACUAAAACUGGAACAUACAGAGAAGAUUAGCAUGGCCCCUGCGCAGGAAUGACAUGCAAAUUCAUGAAGCGUUCCAUUUAAAA